RNAcentral lists this ribosomal RNA (421 nucleotides) under uncultured bacterium. Its description in RNAcentral is "partial 16S ribosomal RNA". It matches the Rfam family "Bacterial small subunit ribosomal RNA", at positions 360 to 773 of the family's 1533-position model. The record is from RNAcentral.
AAUAUGGGACAAUGGGUGAAAGCCUGAUCCAGCCAGGCCGCGUGUGUGAAGAAGGUCUUCGGAUUNUAAAGCACUUUAAGUUGGGANGAAGGGCUUUAGGUUAAUACCCUGAAGUUUUGACGUUACCAACAGAACAAGCACCGGCUAACUCUGUGCCAGCAGCUGCGGUAAUACAGUGGGUGCAAGCGUUACGCGGAAUUACUGGGCGUAAAGCGCGCGUAGGUGGUUCAGUAAGAUGGGUGUGAAAUCCCCGGGCUCACCCUGUGAGCUGCUUUCAUAACUGCUGAGCUAGAGUACGGUAGAGGGUAGUGGAAUUUCCUGUGUAGCGGUGAAAUGCGUAGAUAUAGGAAGGAACACCAGUGGCGAAGGCGACUACCUGGACUGAUACUGACACUGAGGUGCGAAAGCGUGGGGAGCAAAC